AAUAGAUACCCUGGUAGUCCACGCCGUAAACGAUGAGUGCUAAGUGUUAGAGGGUUUCCGCCCUUUAGUGCUGAAGUUAACGCAUUAAGCACUCCGCCUGGGGAGUACGGCCGCAAGGCUGAAACUCAAAGGAAUUGACGGGGGCCCGCACAAGCGGUGGAGCAUGUGGUUUAAUUCGAAGCAACGCGAAGAACCUUACCAGGUCUUGACAUCCUCUGACAACCCUAGAGAUAGGGCUUCUCCUUCGGGAGCAGAGUGACAGGUGGUGCAUGGUUGUCGUCAGCUCGUGUCGUGAGAUGUUGGGUUAAGUCCCGCAACGAGCGCAACCCUUGAUCUUAGUUGCCAUCAUUAAGUUGGGCACUCUAAGGUGACUGCCGGUGACAAACCGGAGGAAGGUGGGGAUGACGUCAAAUCAUCAUGUCCCUUAUGACCUGGGCUACACACGUGCUACAAUGGACGGUACAAAGAGCUGCAAGACCGCGAGGUGGAGCUAAUCUCAUAAAACCGUUCUCAGUUCGGA
This 520-nucleotide ribosomal RNA is filed under the name uncultured bacterium. Its description in RNAcentral is "bacterial SSU rRNA". It matches the Rfam family "Bacterial small subunit ribosomal RNA", at positions 777 to 1297 of the family's 1533-position model. The record is from RNAcentral.